AUUUUGAUUGACUCUUAAAUCAACAUUGUUUUCCAUUCACUAACAGUACCUGAUGUGCCUAUCUUUUCCAUUUUUCUUUAUUUUUCUUUUUCUCUCAGCUUUAGAAGAUUGAGUUAAUCAUAGCCUUCAGCUAUCAAAAGCAAAUGUCAUCAAGUAUUACAUGAGUUAGCAAAUGGUCAGGGAAAGAGAAACCAAUCUGGAUAUUUCUUACAAGAGAUAUGAUACAGAGACUUGAUUCCAAAGGUGUUGGAAGGACAUCAAAAGCUUAAAGAAGAAGGGAACUAAUAGAAGCAACAGAAGCUGCAAAUAACCCUGUAAUAAGCCCAGAAGCCUAUGCUGCUCUUGUGCUGUUGGAAAUGCAUGUUGGUUUUGAUCAUCAUGUCCAUUCUUCUCUCCCAAAAAAACAACCACUACAAUGUGGCUGAUCUACAUUCUUGAGUAUAUGGGUACCCUUUUAAAAUAUGCAGGGUUGAGUUGUUAAUUUGCAUAUAUUAAAAUUGCAUUUUAGGUAUGUUCUUUCUUCAUAUUUUUCAGCAUUCAUUUUUAUAACUUCACUACUUGUUUGAUGUACAUCUAAUUCAUUUCUAACUAAUUCAUAGGUUUCCAUGUUGUAUAACUGUAUAUUUUAUUUAUCUACCUCUUUAGUCAUGUAUAACUAGGUCACUUCCAAUGUCCUGCUGGCUCAAAAAAUACUAUGAUAAAUAUUUUCAUAUAUACUUCCACUGGGAUGAGUAUCAAGCCAAGGGAUCCCUGAACAUAACUUACUUAGCGAAGAACUUCCAGAGUACAUUCCAAACUACUGUGUUGAAAACAGACAGUAGAUGGACAAAUGUGGAUGCAGGGAGGCUGGUCAAGAAACUAUGGCAG
Molecule: long non-coding RNA, 867 nt
Filed under: Homo sapiens (human)
Lineage: Eukaryota; Metazoa; Chordata; Mammalia; Primates; Hominidae
Description: HSALNT0203468
Source: RNAcentral